Long non-coding RNA from Suricata suricatta (meerkat), 583 nucleotides. RefSeq lists it as uncharacterized. The transcript has 5 exons. The record is from RefSeq and is a predicted model, not a curated record. NCBI's taxonomy places the organism in Eukaryota, Metazoa, Chordata, Mammalia, Carnivora, Herpestidae.
AGUCCCGACGCCUGGUAGGUUCUCCCUCCCCGACGUUCAGAGAACUUCCAUCCCAACGAGAACUGCAACAACCGUCUACUGAACACCCUCUCUGGGCGGGUGUUCACAUGCACUUACAGAUAUCUGAUUUUAACAAUUUCCAUACAGUGCAUUUCCACAAUACAGUGACCUGAAUUUGCUGGUGAGCCAAUACUUAAUCAGAUGAGCCUGGGAAAGGAUGCAGGGGUCAGCCUGAAACCUCCCCCGCUCUGCUUCAUGGGCCUUUCUGGGAGGAACAGAAGCUUGUGGUGAGACCCUGUUUCCAGGCAGAGAACUUCAUUGGAGACUUCGGCCUGCUUUUAGCAAAAUUGGAAGGUGCUGGAUUUCUUUCAGCUUGGCAAUAGAUGGCUCCCCCUGUAGGAACAAUUUGGAAUGCUGAAAAGAACACCCAAGUCAUGUAUUUGAAACCAUCUAAAUAAAUUUCCUUUAAAAUAGAAGACAUCACACAUGAUAAUUUGCUGAGAAUAUCUUUGUCUGCAGUGCUGGUUGGCAUAUGCAAGAUGAAAUAUACACUUAAAUUAUGGCUUGACAAGUUUUAUGUACC